AUUGCUGUUUAAAAUUAUUAUUUAAUAUCAUCACUAUUGUUUUCAGACUACUUGUUUUGUUAUCUAAGAUGACUAACAAAGAAACAUUCCAUACAAGAUUGAAUAAGAUAAAAUGGAAUAAGACACUGAGGCAGAGAAAUUCAUUUAUCGAGCAGUUUUAGGAGUGUGGAGAAAGGAAGGAGAGUGAGAAGAGAGAAAGGGAGAGGAGUAUUCACUAGGAUUAUAAACAGUGGCUUAGCACAUUGCAAGUCCUUUUCCCUGUCUAAGGAGAUUCAUUAACACCUUAUAAGCUUGAAGGUUUUCUUGUGACGGUUACAUGGACUCUAGCACAGGCAAACAUGUUUUGUUAUUGGACCCUGAAGGGAAGAGGACAUUUGCUGUGACCAGAAGGGCUGGAAAUCGAUGCCAGGGCCCAAAGGUGAAAACACUGUUUCUAAGCCAAGCUCUGUAGAAUACACAGGACUCUAAUCAUUUGCCUUCUUCUAUAAGGACUGACAGUUUUUGCUCUUAAUUGACUGUUUUUGCCCUUUCCCAGGUCUGUUUUGUGAACCUGGAUGUGAACAAGGAUGAAUGCAGCACAGAGCACCUGCAGCAGAAAUUGGUCAAUGUUUCACCAGAUCUUCCAAAACUUAUCAACUCUAUGAAUGUCCAACAGCCAAAAGAAAAUGAAAUUGUCCUGCUAAGUGGAUUAGCAUCUGGAAAUCUCCAGGCAGAUUUUGAAGUUUCACAGUGCCCUUGGCUAUCAGAUAUCUGCUUGGUCCAAUGUGCGAGAGGGAACAGACCCAACAGCACCAACUGCAUCAUCUUUGAAAUCAACAAAUUCUUGAUUGGUCUGGAACUGGUGCAGGAGCGGCAGCUCCACUUGGAGACAAACAUCUGAAACUGGAGGAUGACACGAACUGUUCCCUGUCCUCCAUUGAGGAAGACUUUCUCACUGCCUCGGAGCACUUGGAGGAGGAGAGCGAGGUGGAAGAAUACAGGAACGGUGAGGACUUCCCAUUAAAACAAAUCUGCAUCCUGGUAUUAGUCACCAUAUGCAAAUGUCUGGGAAAGGUUUCUGAGAAGUGUCAGACCACAUUUCAUUGAACCAUUGAGGAAGUCAGGAAGGAGGACGAGAGGACACAGGUGGAGAGAUGUGCUCAGCACACUUACUGGGUGGCUGAUGCAGACUUUCAGAAGAAGCCUGAGGGGCAAGAAAACUGCGUGUUUCAAAGGGA
Molecule: non-coding RNA, 1217 nt
Organism: Oryctolagus cuniculus (rabbit)
Lineage: Eukaryota; Metazoa; Chordata; Mammalia; Lagomorpha; Leporidae
Source: RefSeq, a predicted model, not a curated record